GACGAACGCUGGCGGCGUGCCUAAUACAUGCAAGUCGAACGAACUCUGGUAAUGAUUGGUGCUUGCAUCAUGAAUUACAUUUGAGUGAGUGGCGAACUGGUGAGUAACACGUGGGAAACCUGCCCAGAAGCGGGGGAUAACACCUGGAAACGGAUGCUAAUACCGCAUAACAACUUGGACCGCAUGGUCCGAGUUUGAAAGAUGGCUUCGGCUAUCACGUUUGGAUGGUCCCGCGGCGUAUUAGCUAGAUGGUGAGGUAACGGCUCACCAUGGCAAUGAUACGUAGCCGACCUGAGAGGGUAAUCGGCCACAUUGGGACUGAGACACGGCCCAAACUCCUACGGGAGGCAGCAGUAGGGAAUCUUCCACAAUGGACGAAAGUCUGAUGGAGCAACGCCGCGUGAGUGAAGAAGGGUUUCGGCUCGUAAAACUCUGUUGUUAAAGAAGAACAUAUCUGAGAGUAACUGUUCAGGUAUUGACGGUAUUUAACCAGAAAGCCACGGCUAACUACGUGCCAGCCGCCGCGGUAA
Molecule: ribosomal RNA, 530 nt
Filed under: uncultured bacterium
Lineage: Bacteria
Description: partial 16S ribosomal RNA
Rfam family: Bacterial small subunit ribosomal RNA
Source: RNAcentral